This 1329-nucleotide ribosomal RNA is filed under the name Trichocera brevicornis. RNAcentral describes it as "partial 16S ribosomal RNA". The stretch from base 886 to 1250 matches the Rfam family "Archaeal large subunit ribosomal RNA", at positions 2150 to 2716 of the family's 2987-position model. The record is from RNAcentral. Lineage: Eukaryota; Metazoa; Arthropoda; Insecta; Diptera; Trichoceridae.
UAAAAUUUAUUUAUUAAUUUUUGUUGUUAUAUUUUAUUUAUUAAAAAAAAUAAUUUUAUAAUUAAAUGUUUUUGUAUUUUAUAAAGAAAAAAUAAUUUUAAUAAUAGUUUAAUUGUAUUGAAAAAGAAUAUUGAAAUAAUUUGAAAAAUUUUUAAAAAUAAAGAAAAUUUUAUUUAUUGUACCUUGUGUAUCAGGGUUUAUUAAUUAAGAAAUAUUUAAUAUAUUUUUCUCGAAUUUAAGAGAUCUAAAAAUUUAUUUAAGUUAAUGUGGCAUAAUUAUUUAAAAUACAUUUUUAGAAAUGAAACGUUAUUCGUUCUUAAUUAUAUCUAGUUUUUUAAGAAAUAAAUUUAAUUUAUAUAUUAUUUAGUAAAAAUUUAAUUUAAUAAUUUUUUAUUAAUUAAUAUAAAUAUUUUAAGGGAUAAGCUUUAAAAUAAAAUUUUAUAAAUUGUAAAUUUUAAAAAUAAUUGUAGGACUAGAAUUAACCAUCAAAUUAAAUUAUGUUAUAAUUUAUUUUUAUUAGCAAAAAAAUUUAUUGUUUUUUAAAUUUUAUAUUAAAAUAUUAAUUUGAAUGUAAAAAAUUAAGUAAUAAUGAUAAAAUUAGUAUAUUAUUUAUUUAUAUAAAUAAAAAUCAAUGAAAGGUUUUUAUAAGUAAUUCGGCAAAUUUAAUACUCGCCUGUUUAUCAAAAACAUGUCUUUUUGCAAUAUAUUUAAAGUCUAACCUGCCCACUGAAAAAUUUAAAGGGCCGCGGUAUUUUGACCGUGCAAAGGUAGCAUAAUCAUUAGUCUUUUAAUUGAAGGCUCGUAUGAAUGGUUGAACGUAGUAUUAGCUGUCUCAUAAAAAAUUAAAAUAGAAUUUAACUUUUUAAUUAAAAGGUUAAAAUAAUUUUAAAAGACGAGAAGACCCUAUAGAGCUUUAUAAUAUUUUUGUAUAAUUUAUUUAGAAAAAUUAAAAUAAUACUUAAUUUAUUAUUUUGUUGGGGUGACAAUAAAAUUUAAUAAACUUUUAUUAAUUGUAAACAUUAAUUUAUGAAUAAUUGAUCCAGUUAUAUUGAUUAUAAAAUUAAGUUACCUUAGGGAUAACAGCGUAAUUUUUUUUAAGAGUUCAUAUCGACAAAAAAGAUUGCGACCUCGAUGUUGGAUUAAGGGUUAUUUUUGGGUGUAGAAGUUCAAAGUUUAGGUCUGUUCGACCUUUGAAUCCUUACAUGAUCUGAGUUCAGACCGGCGUAAGCCAGGUUGGUUUCUAUCUUUAAAUAAUUAAAAUAUUUUAGUACGAAAGGACCAAAUAUUUGAAAUAUAAAUUUUUAAUAAUUGAAUUAUAAUAAGUAAUAA